This 370-nucleotide ribosomal RNA is filed under the name uncultured eukaryote. RNAcentral describes it as "partial 18S ribosomal RNA". It matches the Rfam family "Eukaryotic small subunit ribosomal RNA", at positions 592 to 976 of the family's 1831-position model. The record is from RNAcentral.
CAAUAGCGUAUAUUAAAGUUGUUGCAGUUAAAAAGCUCGUAGUUGGACCUUGGACCUGGACAGGCGGUCCGCCUCACGGCGUGUACUGUCUUGCUGGGUCCUUCCUCUUGGUGAUCUGUUGUUUCGGCAGCAGGGAACCAGGACUUUUACUUUGAAAAAAUUAGAGUGUUCAAAGCAGGCUCGACGCCGGAAUAUAUUAGCAUGGAAUAAUAAAAUAGGACGUGCGGUUCUAUUUUGUUGGUUUUUGGAAUCGCCGUAAUGAUUAAUAGGGACAGUCGGGGGCAUUAGUACUCACAUGCUAGAGGUGAAAUUCUUGGAUUUUGUGAAGACUAACUUCUGCGAAAGCAUUUGCCAAGGAUGUUUUCAUUAA